Molecule: transfer RNA, 77 nt
Filed under: Haliotis rufescens (red abalone)
Lineage: Eukaryota; Metazoa; Mollusca; Gastropoda; Lepetellida; Haliotidae
Description: tRNA-Gly
Rfam family: tRNA
About the family: Transfer RNA (tRNA) molecules are approximately 80 nucleotides in length. Their secondary structure includes four short double-helical elements and three loops (D, anti-codon, and T loops).
Source: RNAcentral
GCGCCGCUGGUGUAGUGGUAUCAUGCAAGAUUCCCAUUCUUGCGACCCGGGUUUGAUUCCCGGGCGGCUGACGUGCU